GUGUCUGUGGGAAGGUACCCGCCCCAGCUCUCAGGUGCGGGGAGGAACCCGGGACCCAGGACGGGACCCCACGGGCUGGUGCCAGGGCGCUGGGCACACGGGAGACCCUCCAACAAGCGGAGACGGGAAUGUGGGUGCUCCCAACGUGGGCAGAAUCCCUGCUGCCCCGACUGGAAAUGACUCAUACGCCCAUGGACGAAAGCACGGAAAUACACAGGGGUGUCAUCUACCAGCGGACAGAGUUCUACAGAAAUGAGACGCCAGACCCACAACUCCUCACCGCAGUGCAGACAAACCUCAGGACCUGGCGUUGCACCCAGGAAGCCAGACACCCAAUACUUGGGGAUCCGGGCAGGGGCGGGACUUGGGGUGACAGGUGGUGCCCGGGGCUGCUGGGAAUUGGCGCUAUUCCGCCUGGAUCCAGUGCCUGCUCAGGUUGUGCACCUACGGGGAGCUGAACACUGGGAAUUUGUGCCUGUUCCUGUACCCAUGAAAUAUUUCAAUAAAAAGUAAAAAAUGAGGAAGUCCAAAAGAAAAA
Myotis davidii is the source of this 538-nucleotide long non-coding RNA. RefSeq lists it as uncharacterized. The transcript has 2 exons. The record is from RefSeq and is a predicted model, not a curated record. Lineage: Eukaryota; Metazoa; Chordata; Mammalia; Chiroptera; Vespertilionidae.